Molecule: long non-coding RNA, 579 nt
Filed under: Mus pahari (shrew mouse)
Lineage: Eukaryota; Metazoa; Chordata; Mammalia; Rodentia; Muridae
Description: RIKEN cDNA 9130204K15 gene (MGP_PahariEiJ_G0004636.1)
Source: RNAcentral
UCUUGGUGCACAAAUGCUUGCAUGCGCGUCAGAAGACUGAAUUUCCACUUGUCAUUUGUCAUGGUGUUUGGAGGACUGAUUGAACCGCCGGCUUCUGAGGGUUAUCUUGAUUUUUGCCUUCCACCUUGCCACAGGAGUGCUGGGACCACACAACUAUGUCUAGCGUUACACGGAUCCUGGAGACUCAAACCCAGGCCCCCAUGCUUGUGUGGCAAGCCCUUUACCCACUGCCGGCUAGUUUUAUGUCAAAUUAGUACAAGUUAGGGUUAUCUGAGAGGAGGGAACCUCAGUAAAGAAAAAUGCCUCCGUAAGAGCAGGCUGUAGGCCAGCCUGUAGGGAAUUUUCUUGGUUACUGAUUGAUAAUGGAGGGCCCAGCCCAUUGCGGACCUUGCCACCCCUGGGCUGGCCGUGCUGUAAGAAAGCUGGCUGCCGAGUAUCAAGCCAGUAAGCAGUCUUUCUCCAUGGCCUUUGUAUCUGCUCCUGCCUCUAGGUUCCUAGCCUGCUUGAGUCCCUGUCCUAACUUCCUCAGUGACGGACUGGCCUGUGGAACUAUAAGUUAAAAUAAACCUUUUCUACCCC